RNAcentral lists this ribosomal RNA (427 nucleotides) under uncultured bacterium. RNAcentral's name for it is "partial 16S ribosomal RNA". It matches the Rfam family "Bacterial small subunit ribosomal RNA", at positions 355 to 774 of the family's 1533-position model. The record is from RNAcentral.
UGGGGAAUAUUGGACAAUGGGCGAAAGCCUGAUCCAGCCAUGCCGCGUGUGUGAAGAAGGUCUUCGGAUUUUAAAGCACUUUAAGUUGGGAGGAAGGGCAUUAACCUAAUACGUUAGUGUUUUGACGUUACCGACAGAAUAAGCACCGGCUAACUCUGUGCCAGCAGCCGCGGUAAUACAGAGGGUGCAAGCGUUAAUCGGAAUUACUGGGCGUAAAGCGCGCGUAGGUGGUUUGUUAAGUUGGAUGUGAAAUCCCCGGGCUCAACCUGGGAACUGCAUUCAAAACUGACUGACUAGAGUAUGGUAGAGGGUGGUGGAAUUUCCUGUGUAGCGGUGAAAUGCGUAGAUAUAGGAAGGAACACCAGUGGCGAAGGCGACCACCUGGACUAAUACUGACACUGAGGUGCGAAAGCGUGGGGAGCAAACA